AAGAAGGAAAAGUCCAGAAGGAAAAACAGCCAGAGAAAGAAGAGAGAGAGGAGAGAAGAUAAACAGAGCAAGACGAGGCCAGGCGGGAAGAGAUGCAGCCAAGAGCAGCACCGAAGAGGAGAAGCAGAGGCCAGAGGGCCUGGAGCAGGUGAGAAAACCAGAAAGAAGUAGUCUCAUACCUGGAAUUUCAUCCAGUAGCUGGAGUACCUGUCCUAUGUGGUAGAGGCUGUCCAGCCAUGCACCCCCUCUCUGGAUUUGGUACCCAGAGUCAAGAUCCCCAGGAGUAGGUGUGAGUGCUGACUCAUGUUGCACUGAACAUCCCAUCAUCAAAUCCCAGCUCCAUCUGCUCAUCCUGGUCCAAAGUGGACGAUAAUCCCAUUGUUAAGACAUGUCUCAUUAAGACUUCUCUAAGAUGGAGCCAGCAAACAGCCCAGUAGCAUCGAGGCUGCUGCCUGGGAAAGAGUCCCCUCCUCUCCCCUGUUCAUUAAUGAUUAUGGGAGGUUUUAUUCCCCCCAACAAAAGUGUUAAUUAGACAUCAUCGGAACAGGGAUAUUACACAAAUGAAUUAAACUCAAACCAAUCAACAAGCUGGCUCUGUGCUUCAGGUCCCCCGAACGAAAAGGGAAUUGAAGGCUGUAAUGGGAAACAAACGGUAAGAUGUCUUUCCUAAUAUCAAAUAAUAACUAGGAAGGCUGCCUUUGCUUCUAGAACUUGUCUUCUUAUUCUUUUCUUUCUCCCCUCCACUAAACACACACACGCGCGUGCACACACACACAUGCACACACACGCACUGCCAUGAGGCUUGGAGAGUUAGGGUUCCAUUCUUGUGACUGAAACUGAAACUGGCUGGGACUGCCCAGUGGUACUUCUCAGGUGCCCUCUAGGCUCAGGGGCCAAGUGGGAUGGAAGGAGUCAGAAGAGCCCAGUUCCAGUCCCUCUCUGUCACUCACCACCUUCCUCAUCAGAGAAUAGUGUGUGUAAUGCUCAGGAGUUCACAGGGAUGCAGUAGGUACUCAAUACUUACCUGCUGUGUCCAAAUGGCUGGGCGACUUCUGGAAGCAUUCUGUGCCCUGGCAGCAAAUUCCUGAGGCUGAUUGACCCCUGUGGGGAGAGUGGGAAGAACUGGAGGGAAAAGAGUUUUAGUCCUUGUAUUUUGAGGGAUCCCAGUUGCUUGGAGGGAUAGAUAAAGAAGAUUGAAAAGUCUUCUAAAAAUGGACAGAUGAAGCCAGUGCAAUGGCUCAUACCUGUAAUCCCAGCACUUUGGGAGGCAGAGGCAGGAGGAGCACUUGACCCCCAAAAUUUGAGACUAGCCUGGGCAACAGGGUUAGAAACCAUUUCUACAAAAGAAAAACAAUUAGCCUGGUGUGGUGGUGCAUACCCUUGGCCCCAGCUACUUGAGAGGCCAAGGUGGAAGGAUUGCUUGAGCCUAGGUGGCUGAGCCUGCGGCUGUGAUCACACAACUGCACUCCAGCCUGGGCAACAGAGCCAGAUCCUAUAAAUGAGAAAAAGAAAAGAAAAG
This is a long non-coding RNA of Homo sapiens (human), 1519 nucleotides long. RefSeq annotates it as KIRREL1 intronic transcript 1. The record is from RefSeq and is marked validated. NCBI's taxonomy places the organism in Eukaryota, Metazoa, Chordata, Mammalia, Primates, Hominidae. The transcript has 2 exons.